Molecule: ribosomal RNA, 775 nt
Filed under: uncultured Neocallimastigales
Lineage: Eukaryota; Fungi; Neocallimastigomycota; Neocallimastigomycetes; Neocallimastigales
Description: partial large subunit ribosomal RNA
Rfam family: Eukaryotic large subunit ribosomal RNA
Source: RNAcentral
UAUGUGAUCGUCUCUCGCAUAUCAAUAAGCGGAGGAAAAGAAACUAACAAGGAUUCCCCUAGUAACGGCGAGUGAAGCGGGAAGAGCUCAAAUUUGAAAUCUUAAAGGGUUUCCCUUUACGAAUUGUAGUUUAAAGAAGUGUUUUCUGUUGAGGUUUUGGUAAAAGUUCUUUGGAAUAGGACAUCAUAGAGGAUGAGAAUCCCGUAUUUGACCUUUACUUUCAACUUUGUGAUACACUUUCAAAGAGUCGGAUUGUUUGGGAAUGCAGUCCAAAAUGGGUGGUAAAUUUCAUCUAAAGCUAAAUAUUGGCGAGAGACCGAUAGCGAACAAGUACCGUGAGGGAAAGAUGAAAAGAACUUUGAAAAGAGAGUUAAACAGUACGUGAAAUUGUCAAAAGGGAAGCGUUUGACACCAGUGUUGUUUUUCUGAAAAUCAAUUAAAGAACUGUUUAUGCUAAGUUGUUUAGACUUUAUCAGCUAUCUGUUUAGUUUUGAGCUUUUCUUUAAUGCACUUUUCAGUUAACAAGUCAACAUCAAUUUCUUUUGCUGUAAAAAAGCUUGAGGAAGGUGGCUUGAGAUUCGUCUUAAGUGUUUAUAGCCUCUUGCCUAUGCAGUCGGAGAGAUUGAAGGUCUGCAGCGUAGAUCCUUCGGGGCUAAAUGCAUUUGUGCUAAGUUAUAGCAUUUUAUAGACAACUUGUUGACUAUGAUUUGUCUUGUAGCUUACUCGCUUAUGUUAUUUUACCUACGCUUAGGAUGUUGAUCUACAGAGCGAGAGU